Molecule: ribosomal RNA, 301 nt
Filed under: uncultured bacterium
Lineage: Bacteria
Description: partial 16S ribosomal RNA
Rfam family: Bacterial small subunit ribosomal RNA
Source: RNAcentral
CAGUCGCCGCGGUAAUACGUAGGUGGCAAGCGUUGUCCGGAAUUAUUGGGCGUAAAGGGCUCGCGGGCGGUUUCUUAAGUCUGAUGUGAAAGCCCCCGGCUCAACCGGGGAGGGUCAUUGGAAACUGGGAAACUUGAGUGCAGAAGAGGAGAGUGGAAUUCCACGUGUAGCGGUGAAAUGCGUAGAGAUGUGGAGGAACACCAGUGGCGAAGGCGACUCUCUGGUCUGUAACUGACGCUAAGGAGCGAAAGCGUGGGGAGCGAACAGGAUUAGAUACCCCAGUAGUCCCUGUCUCUUAUAC